This 471-nucleotide ribosomal RNA is filed under the name Enterococcus casseliflavus. RNAcentral's name for it is "bacterial SSU rRNA". It matches the Rfam family "Bacterial small subunit ribosomal RNA", at positions 28 to 471 of the family's 1533-position model. The record is from RNAcentral. Lineage: Bacteria; Bacillati; Bacillota; Bacilli; Lactobacillales; Enterococcaceae.
GACGAACGCUGGCGGCGUGCCUAAUACAUGCAAGUCGAACGCUUUUUCUUUCACCGGAGCUUGCUCCACCGAAAGAAAAAGAGUGGCGAACGGGUGAGUAACACGUGGGUAACCUGCCCAUCAGAAGGGGAUAACACUUGGAAACAGGUGCUAAUACCGUAUAACACUAUUUUCCGCAUGGAAGAAAGUUGAAAGGCGCUUUUGCGUCACUGAUGGAUGGACCCGCGGUGCAUUAGCUAGUUGGUGAGGUAACGGCUCACCAAGGCAACGAUGCAUAGCCGACCUGAGAGGGUGAUCGGCCACACUGGGACUGAGACACGGCCCAGACUCCUACGGGAGGCAGCAGUAGGGAAUCUUCGGCAAUGGACGAAAGUCUGACCGAGCAACGCCGCGUGAGUGAAGAAGGUUUUCGGAUCGUAAAACUCUGUUGUUAGAGAAGAACAAGGAUGAGAGUAAAACGUUCAUCCCUUG